RNAcentral lists this long non-coding RNA (603 nucleotides) under Homo sapiens (human). RNAcentral describes it as "HSALNT0197934". The record is from RNAcentral. Lineage: Eukaryota; Metazoa; Chordata; Mammalia; Primates; Hominidae.
CGUCUAAGCUAAGUCUGAGUUACAAUAGCAAGCCAGCCUUGGGAAGAGCAGGUAGAAGAACAUCCAGGAUGGGAACAGCCAGGGCCAAGGCUGCGAGGCAAGAGAAGUUUGAUGCCUUGGUAACCUGGAAGGAAGGACUUUGUGACUGGGGUAGGGAGUGAGAGAGAGGAGAGCAGAUGAACACAGGUGCAGAGGCCAGAUCAGGUAACCUGGAAGGAAGGACUUUGUGACUGGGGGUAGGGAGUGAGAGAGAGGAGAGCAGAUGAACACAGGUGCAGAGGCCAGAUCAGGCUGGGAAGCCAUGGGGCCCGGGAGAGUGUGUGGCGCUAAGACAGGGAGCAACGUGAGCUGCUUAGGGUUUCCAAAGACCCUUCUGAGUGCUGAGUGGGGGACAGGUUGUAGGUGGGCAAGAGUAGGCACAGAAAGAGGGGGAAGCCAGAGACUGACUAGGUGACCACGUUCAGACAAGAGGUAGCAGGGAUUUUGUGUAGUGUGGUAGAAAUGGAGACACUGGUCAGAGUUGGGGGAUGUUUGAAGGUGGAGUCCUCUUUUCUAAGAACCAGCAUAUGCUUUUUAUCUUGUUGAUUGUCAUUUUGUAGUGUG